UGGAAUUUUAUUAUUUUCAUUCCAAUCUCUUUGUGGCUGGUGGCGGAAUUGCAGCAGUGAUUCUUCAUAUAUAUAUACCUAUACAGUGCACUCUCUCAUUCCAGAAGGCAGAUCUGGAAUUUUAUUAUUUUCAUCCCAAUCUCUUUGUGGCUGGUGGCGGUCUAUUCCGGCGUCAAUUGCAGCAGUGUGUGUAUAUAUAUAUAUAUAUAUCAUCACUCUGCAAAAGAAAAUUUUCCAAAGAAUCAGACCCAACACUCCAACUAAACCCCAACGCAACCCCACUCAUCCACAAACCCACCUCACCCCAACCCCAUCUCAGUCUCUCUCAUCACCCUCCUCUUCGUCUCUCUCUCACCUCACCCCACAAGACCCCUAAACCUGGUUCCUCACUUUCCCCACCACUCUCCGCCACCACUACUCCACCGAUCGAACCAUCAAGGUCCAGACCACCCCAAAUCACCCCCCCAAUUGAAGUCUUCACCAUUCAAGAUGGUCGUGGCAGGGGCUAUGGUGAUAGGUUUUGGCGUGUAUGAGAGGAGAGAUCUGGUUGUGGCAGGGGCUGUGGUGGGAGGAGGCGGCGGUGGGUGGAGGAGAUGGUUAGAAAUUUUUUUUUUUUUUUUUUAAACAGUGUUACAGUAUAGGAAGUAAUUUUCGUGAACAGUAUAAAAACCAAGAAAGUAAGGAUUUUUUAUUUUCUCUUUUCUUUCUAAAAUUAGAAAGUAUUUUUUUAAAGUUUUAAAAGUGAAAGUAUUUUAUUAAACAAGAUUUUUAUUUUUGAUUCUCAAUUUUAAGAAUUGAAAGUAGAAAUCAUGAAUUAUUUAUGUUACACAGGCCCAACAAGUCAAUUCCACCAAUAUUAUCUUAUAUAUCUUAUCUAGUUUGUCCUCUGGUCAUCUCCUCAUAUCUUCCAUUCCAUGGGUAAUCCUUUACAAUCAGAGUUCAUGGCGGAAAAAAAUUCACCGGUCAUCCCACUUAUAGCUGCAACAGUUGCCGGAAUCCGGUUGCCCUCCAUGACGACCUUAAUUCUAAAAAAUUUUGGGUGAUUAAACAUUUCUGAUCCUCUAGAUCUCUCCCUCUACAUAUAUAUAUACACACACACACACACUACAUACGUGUGUGAUCUGAUAGCCUGAUGCAUUAGUUGAAACUUGGGGUUUGUUGAUUCAACUUUAUAUAAUUAGUUCAUGUUAUAUUAAUCAUCAGUCCAUUAAUUGAGUUGAUUUUAGUAACAAGGACUUUUUGUGGAAAUGAAGUAAUUUGAUCCAUUAUAGAAUAUGAGUUGCAAGACUGUCUUGUAAAGUCAAGGUCACUGAAUUGGCUCUUUCCCCUUAGCCAAACAAAGACUAACACGGUGGAGUCGAGGCCAAGGACCUUCUCUGGAAAAGGAGGUACAUUUUGCACACCCACUAAUCAUUAAUUGAGUAUUAGUUUGUGGAGGGAUAAUGAUCUUUUUAGAAAAGGAGAGGUCCUGCACAACUACUAAGUAUUGGAUUGGAUACCCCCACUAAUAAUGAUGCCAUAUCAAUGGUUGGUGAGUGUGCAGACCCUCUCCAAGAAUGGAGAGGAUCCUUAUCCGGAGUCGAGAUAGUCUCUCUACUCAGCUCGAGUCGAUUCGGUCGGUUUCUGAAUUUUUUUAUUUUUUUAUAAUUAUUAGUUUAUGGACACCAAAACCCUUCUAAUCAUCGUCGUCCGAGUUUAUGACUCUCCCCUUGAAACUCCUUAAGCAACUAUGUGAGUUCGAAAAGUUUCUCUUUUUCAGGCUAAAAAGUAAUCCUACAAGUUUAUACCUAGAGACAUUCUUGUAAAUAUGGAGUAUUAGUUUGUCUAAGAAAUAUAUAUAUAUAAAACAUGAAUUAUAAAAAUUUAACAUAUAUGUAUCCCCACUGCACUAAUUCUUUAGUAUAUAAGGGCCCUUAAUUACCAAGGAUUUUGCUUGCACAUUGCCUCAUUUUGUAAUGUAAAUUACAUUUAUUUUGAAAGUUGAACGCUCCCUCUUUCAUUUUGUGAGAUUGUAUUGACAAUAUUGUGCUACAACUCUUGAUGGUAGCUCAAUGAGAGCAUCUUGGAUUGGAGAAGAUAUUUGGUGAGCUCGGCAUACUAUGUUAUUAAUUGCUACAGGUCUCAACACUUGAAAAAAAACUACUUUGCAUAAACUCAUUUGUCAAUUUUUCAUUAGCUGAAAAAAAACUACUCUGCAGAAACUCAUUUGUCAAUUUUUCAUUAGCUGAA
Long non-coding RNA from Cornus florida, 2229 nucleotides. RefSeq lists it as uncharacterized. The transcript has 2 exons. NCBI's taxonomy places the organism in Eukaryota, Viridiplantae, Streptophyta, Magnoliopsida, Cornales, Cornaceae. The record is from RefSeq and is a predicted model, not a curated record.